This 215-nucleotide long non-coding RNA is filed under the name Mytilus galloprovincialis (Mediterranean mussel). Lineage: Eukaryota; Metazoa; Mollusca; Bivalvia; Mytilida; Mytilidae. The record is from RNAcentral.
CUUACUAUUCCCCCCUUUAUGAAAAACAUCACCCACUCUCCAACAUAAAAAAUAAAGGCUCAAAUACAUUGACCUAAAUAAAAAGGAUUAGGCCUAAAAAUCAAAACAAGCAAAAAUCUACUAGCUAAUGAGUGUAUUUCUAAUAUGUACAGACUAAUUGUUUUCAAUUCUUUUAUUUCAGGUGAGAAAAUGUAUUCAAAUUUCAUAUGAGAGGG